Molecule: long non-coding RNA, 787 nt
Organism: Zophobas morio
Lineage: Eukaryota; Metazoa; Arthropoda; Insecta; Coleoptera; Tenebrionidae
Exons: 2
Source: RefSeq, a predicted model, not a curated record
GUAUAAAACGCCCAAGAGCCUCAAUUUCCCCAGCAGCAACCGCUCAAGAUGGUUCGCUCCGAGGUCUUUGUUUUCGUGUUGAUUUUAAUGAGCGUCGUUUGCGAGAUGAAGGGCCCCGUUUGUGCAUACCCAAGAGCCGAGAAAGGCGCAAUCGAUGGUGCUACGGCAGCUCCCUCAGAAUCCGUGUCCAAACGAAUUACACGCAAUAUACAGAAUACAAUUCUGCCAAAUUAUAUGAAUCCCUCCGGAGAAAGAAGGCAAAUCCGCAUAAAGAAAAGAGAUUUAGGAAGGAGAAGGUUUCAGCCCAUUCCUGUUCUCUGCGGUUAAGUUCGCUUUAUCAAUCGACUUUUGUUGAAGUUUUAUUACUUUUAUUGUGCUGCGGAAAUGUGGAAAUGUUUCAGUCCGUGGAGAUCGUAAUUAUUGAAUUAGAGAAACGACGGGAACACAAAGGAUUAUCUCGGGCAAAUUUUGUUAGAUGAAUAAUUAAACUGUUUGAAUAAUAAUUAAUUAUUAAAUUAAAGCUACAAUUGUUGGAUGAUUCUUGCUGCUAUUCAUUUUCAGACGGGGAACCGUUUUAACAAUUUAAAUUAAAACUUUGACGCUGAAGUUAAGUGCAAACUCAUUUUCUCUUGUAAAAUAUAAAAGUACUAGUACUUAAGGCAACUUCAAUAUUUAAUUAUUACGUUGCGGACGGGUUAGCCGAAGUCGUUUCAUACAAGACUUUGAGCGCUUAUAAAAUUUCCUAGAAUAUUAAAUUUACAAUUUUAAUAAACUCGUAAUAACUGAA